This 397-nucleotide ribosomal RNA is filed under the name uncultured bacterium. Its description in RNAcentral is "partial 16S ribosomal RNA". It matches the Rfam family "Bacterial small subunit ribosomal RNA", at positions 338 to 732 of the family's 1533-position model. The record is from RNAcentral.
CCUACGGGUGGCAGCAGUGAGGAAUAUUGGUCAAUGGUCGGGAGACUGAACCAGCCAAGCCGCGUGAGGGAUGAAGGUACAGCGUGUCGUAAACCUCUUUUGUCAGGGAAUAAAGUCGGGGACGUGUCCCCGGCUGAGUGUACCUUAAGAAAAAGCAUCGGCUAACUCCGUGCCAGCAGCCGCGGUAAUACGGAGGAUCCGAGCGUUAUCCGGAUUUAUUGGGUUUAAAGGGUGCGAAGGUGGGUUGUUAAGUCAGGUGUCAAAGGCCGGGGCUCAACCCGGGGACUGCAGUUGAAACUGGCAGUCUCGAGUUGGAGAGAGGUAUGCGGAAUGCGGGGUGUAGCGGUGAAAUGCAUAGAUAUCGCGCAGAACUCCGAUUGCGAAGGCAGCAUGCUGG